AACGCUGGCGGCGCGCUUAACACAUGCAAGUCGAACGAGAAAGGGGAGCAAUCCCUGAGUAAAGUGGCGUACGGGUGAGUAACACGUGGGUGAUCUACCCUUUGGUGAGGAAUAACCCUGGGAAACCGGGGAUAAUACCGCAUAAGUCCGCGAGGAGAAAGUCGCAAGACGCCGAAGGAGGAGCCCGCGGCCGAUUAGCUAGUUGGUGAGGUAAGAGCUCACCAAGGCGACGAUCGGUAGCCGGCCUGAGAGGGCACACGGCCACACUGGCACUGAAACACGGGCCAGACUCCUACGGGAGGCAGCAGUGGGGAAUCUUGCACAAUGGGGGAAACCCUGAUGCAGCGACGCCGCGUGAGCGAUGAAGCCCUUCGGGGUGUAAAGCUCUUUCGGCAGGGACGAUAAUGACGGUACCUGCAGAAGAAGCUGCGGCUAACUACGUGCCAGCAGCCGCGGUAAUACGUAGGCAGCAAGCGUUGUUCGGAAUUACUGGGCGUAAAGAGUGCGUAGGUGGUUGGGUAAGUUAGGUGUGAAAUCUCCCGGCUCAACUGGGAGGGUGCGCCUGAAACUGCCUGGCUAGAGUGUGGGAGAGGGAAGUGGAAUUCCUGGUGUAGCGGUGAAAUGCGUAGAUAUCAGGAGGAACACCGGCGGUGUAGACGGCUUCCUGGACCAUUACUGACACUGAGGCACGAAAGCGUGGGUAGCAAACAG
Molecule: ribosomal RNA, 711 nt
Filed under: uncultured Acidobacteriota bacterium
Lineage: Bacteria; Pseudomonadati; Acidobacteriota
Description: bacterial SSU rRNA
Rfam family: Bacterial small subunit ribosomal RNA
Source: RNAcentral